AUCCAGCUGAUAAGUCCCAUAUAGGAUGAAACGCGUGUCCUGGAU
This 45-nucleotide non-coding RNA is filed under the name Schistosoma haematobium. Lineage: Eukaryota; Metazoa; Platyhelminthes; Trematoda; Strigeidida; Schistosomatidae. The record is from RNAcentral.